AUUGAACGCUGGCGGCAGGCCUAACACAUGCAAGUCGAGCGGGGGAAGGUAGCUUGCUACCGGACCUAGCGGCGGACGGGUGAGUAAUGCUUAGGAAUCUGCCUAUUAGUGGGGGACAACAUCUCGAAAGGGAUGCUAAUACCGCAUACGUCCUACGGGAGAAAGCAGGGGAUCGUCGGACCUUGCGCUUAUAGAUGAGCCUAAGUCGGAUUAGCUCGUUGGGGGGGUAAAGGCCUACCAAGGCGACGAUCUGUAGCGGGUCUGAGAGGGUGAUGCGCCCCAGUGGGACUGAGACACGGCCCUGACCCCGACGGGAGGGAGCAGUGGGGAAUUUUGGUACAUGGGGGGAACCCUGAUCCAGCCAUGCCGCGUGUGUGAAGAAGGCCUUAUGGUUAUAAGGCACUUUAAGCGAGGAGGAGGCUACUUUAGUUAAUACCUAGAGAUAGUGGACGUUACUCGCAGAAUAAGCACCGGCUAACUCUGUGCCAGCAGCCGCGGUAA
Molecule: ribosomal RNA, 501 nt
Filed under: uncultured bacterium
Lineage: Bacteria
Description: partial 16S ribosomal RNA
Rfam family: Bacterial small subunit ribosomal RNA
Source: RNAcentral